RNAcentral lists this ribosomal RNA (319 nucleotides) under uncultured eukaryote. RNAcentral's name for it is "partial 18S ribosomal RNA". It matches the Rfam family "Eukaryotic small subunit ribosomal RNA", at positions 1470 to 1796 of the family's 1831-position model. The record is from RNAcentral.
CCCUUAGAUGAUUUGGGCUGCACGCGCGCUACACUGACCCUAACAAUGAGCAACUGUCUGGCCUGAGAUGGCUGGGUAGCCUUUUCAACCCAUGUCAUGAUUGGGCUAGAUUUUUGUAAGUCUUGAUCUCUAACGAGGAAUCCCUAGUAUGCGUGAAUCAUCAAUCCAUGCAGAUUAUGUCCCUGCCCUUUGUACACACCGCCCGUCGCUCCUACUGAUUGGGUGAUCCGGUGAGCUGUUCGGCCAUAGCAAUGUUUCUUGAGCAGGGCAAUGAAGGUUUCGCAAACCUUGCCACUUAGAGGAAGGAGAAGUCGUAACA